CGUGCCGUGAGGUGUUGGGUUAAGUCCCGCAACGAGCGCAACCCCUGUCUUCAGUUACUAACGGGUCAAGCCGAGAACUCUGGAGAGACUGCCCAGGAGAACGGGGAGGAAGGUGGGGAUGACGUCAAGUCAGCAUGGCCUUUAUGCCUGGGGCUACACACGUGCUACAAUGGCCGGUACAAAGGGCUGCAAACCCGUAAGGGGAAGCGAAUCUCAAAAAACCGGCCUCAGUUCAGAUCGAGGUCUCCAACUCGACCUCGUGAAGGCGGAAUCGUUAGUAAUCCCGGAUCAGCACGCCGGGGUGAAUACGUUCCCGGGCCUU
RNAcentral lists this ribosomal RNA (322 nucleotides) under uncultured bacterium. RNAcentral's name for it is "bacterial SSU rRNA". It matches the Rfam family "Bacterial small subunit ribosomal RNA", at positions 1061 to 1382 of the family's 1533-position model. The record is from RNAcentral.